RNAcentral lists this ribosomal RNA (406 nucleotides) under uncultured bacterium. Its description in RNAcentral is "partial 16S ribosomal RNA". It matches the Rfam family "Bacterial small subunit ribosomal RNA", at positions 30 to 526 of the family's 1533-position model. The record is from RNAcentral.
AUUGAACGCUGGCGGCAGGCUUAACACAUGCAAGUCGAACGAGUGGCGGACGGGUGAGUAAUGCUUGGGAAUCUAGCUUAUGGAGGGGGAUAACUACGGGAAACUGUAGCUAAUACCGCGUACCAUAGGAUGAGCCCAAGUGGGAUUAGGUAGUUGGAGGGGUAAAGGCUCACCUAGGCGACGAUCUCUAGCUGGUCUGUGAGGAUGAUCAGCCACACGGGGGCUGAGACACGGACCAGACUCCUACGGGAGGCAGCAGUGGUGAAUGUUACACAAUGGGCGCGAGCCUGGUGCAGCCAUGCCGCGUGUAUGAAGAAGGCCUUAGGGUUGUAAAGUACUUUCAGCGAGGAAGCGUUACCCGCAGAAGAAGCACCGGCUGACUCCGUGCCAGCAGCCGCGGUAAUAC